UUUUCUUUUCUGCUCCCGCAUGAUAUUUUCUCCCCUUGAAGAUUCAGUUGCAGCUCGAUCUUAAGUGUUAAUCUUAGAGAUUUGGUUGCUCGUGUUCGAUCUGGGUUUGUCAAGGUUGAAGAGCUGGACUACUUUGAAGAAAGAACUCUGAAGAACUGAAGAACAUGGAAGUUUUCUCAUCAGAGUUUGGACAUAGAAGAACUGGUCAGAGUUGAAUUUGGAAGAACUAAGAAGUUGGAGAUUUGCAUGGUGAUAUGGCACAAACUGCAUGGACCAGUGGAGAGACGAUAACGAAUGGUAUUGGUUCAACUAGGAGAUAUACUUGACUGGAACCGAUUGUACUCCGGACAGACCAGUGACAUAGAUGAUUAUCAAGCAUGCCAG
Long non-coding RNA from Papaver somniferum (opium poppy), 384 nucleotides. RefSeq lists it as uncharacterized. Lineage: Eukaryota; Viridiplantae; Streptophyta; Magnoliopsida; Ranunculales; Papaveraceae. The transcript has 5 exons. The record is from RefSeq and is a predicted model, not a curated record.